CUCGUAGGCGGUUCGUCGCGUCCGGUGUGAAAGUCCAUCGCUUAACGGUGGAUCUGCGCCGGGUACGGGCGGGCUGGAGUGCGGUAGGGGAGACUGGAAUUCCCGGUGUAACGGUGGAAUGUGUAGAUAUCGGGAAGAACACCAAUGGCGAAGGCAGGUCUCUGGGCCGUUACUGACGCUGAGGCUCGAAAGCAUGGGUAGCAAACA
RNAcentral lists this ribosomal RNA (207 nucleotides) under uncultured bacterium. RNAcentral's name for it is "partial 16S ribosomal RNA". It matches the Rfam family "Bacterial small subunit ribosomal RNA", at positions 568 to 774 of the family's 1533-position model. The record is from RNAcentral.